RNAcentral lists this ribosomal RNA (616 nucleotides) under Hansenula anomala. RNAcentral describes it as "Wickerhamomyces anomalus partial large subunit ribosomal RNA". It matches the Rfam family "Eukaryotic large subunit ribosomal RNA", at positions 38 to 667 of the family's 3401-position model. Lineage: Eukaryota; Fungi; Ascomycota; Saccharomycetes; Phaffomycetales; Wickerhamomycetaceae. The record is from RNAcentral.
GCAUAUCAAUAAGCGGAGGAAAAGAAACCAACAGGGAUUGCCUCAGUAACGGCGAGUGAAGCGGCAAAAGCUCAAAUUUGAAAUCUAGCACCUUCGGUGUUUGAGUUGUAAUUUGAAGAUGGUAACCUUGGGUUUGGCUCUUGUCUAUGUUCCUUGGAACAGGACGUCAUAGAGGGUGAGAAUCCCGUAUGAUGAGAUGCCCAUUCCUAUGUAAGGUGCUAUCGAAGAGUCGAGUUGUUUGGGAAUGCAGCUCUAAGUGGGUGGUAAAUUCCAUCUAAAGCUAAAUAUUGGCGAGAGACCGAUAGCGAACAAGUACAGUGAUGGAAAGAUGAAAAGAACUUUGAAAAGAGAGUGAAAAAGUACGUGAAAUUGUUGAAAGGGAAGGGCAUUAGAUCAGACUUGGUGUUUUACGAUUAUCUUCUCUUCUUGAGUUGUGCACUCGUAUUUCACUGGGCCAGCAUCGAUUCGGAUGGCAAGAUAAUGGCAGUUGAAUGUGGCUUCACUUCGGUGGAGUGUUAUAGCUUCUGCUGAUAUUGCCUGUCUGGAUCGAGGGCUGCGUCUUUUGACUAGGAUGCUGGCGUAAUGAUCUAAUGCCGCCCGUCUUGAAACACGGACC